AGAGUUUGAUCCUGGCUCAGGACGAACGCUGGCGGCGUGCUUAACACAUGCAAGUCGAACGCUGAAACCGGAGCUUGCUUUGGUGGAUGAGUGGCGAACGGGUGAGUAACACGUGGGCGAUCUGCCCUACACUUUGGGAUAAGCCUGGGAAACUGGGUCUAAUACCGAAUAUUCACACCACCGUAGGGGUGGUGUGGAAAGCUUUAUGCGGUGUGGGAUGAGCCUGCGGCCUAUCAGCUUGUUGGUGGGGUAAUGGCCUACCAAGGCGUCGACGGGUAGCCGGCCUGAGAGGGUGUACGGCCACAUUGGGACUGAGACACGGCCCAGACUCCUACGGGAGGCAGCAGUGGGGAAUAUUGCACAAUGGGCGCAAGCCUGAUGCAGCGACGCCGCGUGGGGGAUGAAGGCCUUCGGGUUGUAAACUCCUUUCGCUAGGGACGAAGCCUUUUUGGUGACGGUACCUGGAGAAGAAGCACCGGCUAACUACGUGCCAGCAGCCGCGGUAAUACGUAGGGUGCGAGCGUUGUCCGGAAUUACUGGGCGUAAAGAGCUCGUAGGUGGUUUGUCGCGUCGUCUGUGAAAUCCCGGGGCUUAACUUCGGGCGUGCAGGCGAUACGGGCAUAACUUGAGUGCUGUAGGGGAGACUGGAAUUCCUGGUGUAGCGGUGAAAUGCGCAGAUAUCAGGAGGAACACCAAUGGCGAAGGCAGGUCUCUGGGCAGUAACUGACGCUGAGGAGCGAAAGCAUGGGUAGCGAACAGGAUUAGAUACCCUGGUAGUCC
This 780-nucleotide ribosomal RNA is filed under the name uncultured bacterium. Its description in RNAcentral is "bacterial SSU rRNA". It matches the Rfam family "Bacterial small subunit ribosomal RNA", at positions 8 to 796 of the family's 1533-position model. The record is from RNAcentral.